ACACCGAGGCCCCGCCUCCCACGUGCGGGCGCUCCUCUCCUAGAGCUCACUGGUCUUUCCAGAAGUCCUCAAGUUUCAUGCGACCAGCAGUGAACUUUACUGGGUAGGGGUGGGAAGCCGGUGGCUCCGGACAGUCGUGAUAACCCGGCACAGAAGCAGAGUCGCAUUUCGGAGCGUCCACUCGUAACGCGGCUUCUCGCACACGGAGCCCGUAGUCCAGGGGAGAGGAGGCCAGGGAGGCCCUGGAGAGGUUGUAGGUACAGGAUGAUCGGCAGUGGAGACCCUGUCGGGCUCAGGAAGGCACUGUUCUUUCAUCAUUUCCUUCCCAGCAUGCACUUGUACAUGCUGUACACUCCACUCUCUUCAUUACCACAACAGGACUACAAAAUCUUUAGAGGAUGAACAGCCAAACAAGGUGACUUACCGCCUGCCAGGAGAGCUUAUUAAAGGAUUUCAUUUCUUGGGCAUCCAGGUUGGGACAUCUUCUGGAUAUAUGCCCAGGAGAGGUGUUGCUGGAUCCUCCAGUAGUACUAUGUCCAAUUUUCUGAAGAACCGCCAGACUGAUUUCCAGAGUGGUUGUACAAGCUUGCAAUCCCACCAACAAUUUAGGAGCGUUCCUCUUUCUCCACACCCUCGCCAGCAUCUACUGUCACCUGAAUUUUUGAUCUUAGCCAUUCUGAAUGGUGUGAGGUGUAAUCUCAGGGUUGUUUUGAUUUGCAUUUCCCUGAUGACUAAGGAUGUUGAACAUUUUUUCAGGUGCUUCUCUGCCAUUCAAUAUUCCUCAGGUGAGAAUUCUUUGUUCAGUUCUGAUCACCAUUUUUAGUGGGGUUAUUUGAUUUUAUGGAGUCCACCUUCUUGAGUUCUUUAUAUAUAUUGGAUAUUAGUCCCCUAUCCGAUUUGGAAUAAGUAAAGAUCCUUUCCCAA
This is a long non-coding RNA of Mus musculus (house mouse), 924 nucleotides long. RefSeq annotates it as predicted gene, 31138. NCBI's taxonomy places the organism in Eukaryota, Metazoa, Chordata, Mammalia, Rodentia, Muridae. The record is from RefSeq and is marked validated. The transcript has 3 exons.